This 628-nucleotide ribosomal RNA is filed under the name uncultured archaeon. RNAcentral's name for it is "bacterial SSU rRNA". It matches the Rfam family "Archaeal small subunit ribosomal RNA", at positions 147 to 774 of the family's 1478-position model. The record is from RNAcentral.
UAAUACUGGAUAGGCAAUUAUUCCUGUAAUGGUUUUUUGUUUAAAUGUUUUUUUCGCCUAAGGAUGGGUCUGCGGCCGAUUAGGUAGUUGGUUAGGUAAUGGCUUACCAAGCCUUUGAUCGGUACGGGUUGUGAGAGCAAGAGCCCGGAGAUGGAACCUGAGACAAGGUUCCAGGCCCUACGGGGUGCAGCAGGCGCGAAACCUCCGCAAUGUGAGAAAUCGCGACGGGGGGAUCCCAAGUGCCAUUCUUAACGGGAUGGCUUUUCAUUAGUGUAAAGAGCUUUUGGAAUAAGAGCUGGGCAAGACCGGUGCCAGCCGCCGCGGUAACACCGGCAGCUCUAGUGGUAGCAGUUUUUAUUGGGCCUAAAGCGUCCGUAGCCGGUUUAAUAAGUCUCUGGUGAAAUCCUGCAGCUUAACUGUGGGAAUUGCUGGAGAUACUAUUAGACUUGAGAUCGGGAGAGGUUAGAGGUACUCCCAGGGUAGAGGUGAAAUUCUGUAAUCCUGGGAGGACCGCCUGUUGCGAAGGCGUCUGACUGGAACGAUUCUGACGGUGAGGGACGAAAGCUAGGGGCGCGAACCGGAUUAGAUACCCGGGUAGUCCUAGCUGUAAACGAUGCGGACUUGGUGU